CCGAUGGGCGACCGCCUGCUCGGACACUGACAUCGGUACCUCGUACGGCCGGUGCAG
This is a non-coding RNA of Streptomyces sp. WM6378, 57 nucleotides long. NCBI's taxonomy places the organism in Bacteria, Bacillati, Actinomycetota, Actinomycetes, Kitasatosporales, Streptomycetaceae. The record is from Rfam.